RNAcentral lists this ribosomal RNA (429 nucleotides) under uncultured bacterium. RNAcentral's name for it is "bacterial SSU rRNA". It matches the Rfam family "Bacterial small subunit ribosomal RNA", at positions 29 to 507 of the family's 1533-position model. The record is from RNAcentral.
AACGAACGCUGGCGGCAGGCUUAACACAUGCAAGUCGAGCGCCCCGCAAGGGGAGCGGCAGACGGGUGAGUAACGCGUGGGAAUCUACCCAUCCCUACGGAAUAGCUCCGGGAAACUGGAAUUAAUACCGUAUACGCCCUACGGGGAAAGAUUUAUCGGGAUGGAUGAGCCCGCGUUGGAUUAGCUAGUUGGUGGGGUAAAGGCCUACCAAGGCGACGAUCCAUAGCUGGUCUGAGAGGAUGAUCAGCCACAUUGGGACUGAGACACGGCCCAAACUCCUACGGGAGGCAGCAGUGGGGAAUAUUGGACAAUGGGGGCAACCCUGAUCCAGCCAUGCCGCGUGAGUGAUGAAGGCCUUAGGGUUGUAAAGCUCUUUCACCGGGGAAGAUAAUGACGGUACCCGGAGAAGAAGCCCCGGCUAACUCCGUG